This 173-nucleotide long non-coding RNA is filed under the name Monodelphis domestica (gray short-tailed opossum). RNAcentral describes it as "lncRNA (ENSMODG00000049382.1)". The record is from RNAcentral. Lineage: Eukaryota; Metazoa; Chordata; Mammalia; Didelphimorphia; Didelphidae.
UAAAAAUGGUUUUGAUAUCUGACUUGAGUGAAUGAAAGGAUAUCACGUACUUAUUAACUGAUGGUAUGCUUGUCAGAUUUGCAGGUAACACAAAACUUAAGAGGGAGAAAUUGAUGACAGAGAAGAUUCAAAAAUAUCUUGACAGGAAAUGCUUCAAGGUCUAUAGAAAAUAA